CUGCAGUGUAAAAUAUUGCUGUAGGUUUUGUGUUUUACAGUGCCAACAACAGAUGUGGAGAUGCUCCAGUUCACCUCUUCAGCACCUGAUUCCUCACUGCAUGUCUCUUCUUUCUGAUAGAAAAUUUUGCCUAUGAAAUUAAUCAUUCUCUUUGCUCUUACAUUCCAGUCAGUUUCAGGUAACAAUUCACUGCAGUUAUAUAAAGGUUCUUUUAUAUUUACUCCAUUGGCAAACUACUGAAAACUGAAAAUUUAUGGAAUUCUGUUCUUUGCCAACAAAAUAGACAUAAAGAAUUUAUAUUUAACACAUGGCUGUAAGGACAACACAGAAAGGACUCAGAUGUUUAAACUUCUUUCUUUCUUCAAAUGAAUGCUCAGGAGCCCUGGUCCACAGUGAGAAUCUUGUCAUUCUGUGCAUCACUGCAUUGGAAGACUUACUUGAAGAAUCACAAGACGCUUCUAUCAUGUGCUAUACAGCCAAGCUGGAUGUGAACUUGCAUGAGAAAUUUCACAGCUUGGUUUCCAAAUAUUCAGAAGGUAUUAUUGUAACCUGUUUUAAGAGUAUAUGUACUCAGGAAAAUUGAUACCUGAAACUAAGAGAGAGGCUUGGAAACUUAUAGCAGAAAACCUUAGACAUGGAACAGAUUGCUGCAAAGAGAAAAGAAUUAUCUGUUCCUUGUAUCUACAGUGAACAGGACAAGAUGUAAUGAGGCUAAAUUAGAUCAAAGGAGACUUAGGAUAGACAUUAGAGAAAACUCUCUCACAGUGAUGAUAAUUAACCACUGAAAUAUCUUACCUUAAGAGAGCAUGAGCUCCCCAUGGUUACAGCUUUUUAAGGACAUUGAAAAAGUAUCAGUGAGGUUUGGCUUAGGUUUCUUUGUUCCUAAUUUGUUGCAGUCAGUUACACCAUGGAAUAUUAACACCAGUCAGAAUCUUCCACACAAAAUGCUUAGUAGAUUGUUCUAACCUCCAGUAUACUCAGGGAAUUGGCUCAAGCAGAUUGGCUCUCUAAUAGAUAUUAAGACAAUUUUUCCUGUUUAUAG
RNAcentral lists this long non-coding RNA (1042 nucleotides) under Gallus gallus (chicken). RNAcentral describes it as "lncRNA (ENSGALG00010018424.1)". The record is from RNAcentral. Lineage: Eukaryota; Metazoa; Chordata; Aves; Galliformes; Phasianidae.